UCGGGAAUUUUGGGCAAUGGGCGAAAGCCUGACCCAGCAACGCCGCGUGAAGGAUGAAGUAUUUCGGUAUGUAAACUUCGAAAGAAUAGGAAGAAUAAAUGACGGUACUAUUUAUAAGGUCCGGCUAACUACGUGCCAGCAGCCGCGGUAAUACGUAGGGACCAAGCGUUGUUCGGAUUUACUGGGCGUAAAGGGCGCGUAGGCGGCUUGACAAGUCACUUGUGAAAUCUCUGGGCUUAACCCAGAACGGCCAAGUGAAACUGUCAUGCUAGAGUGCAGAAGGGGCAAUCGGAAUUCUUGGUGUAGCGGUGAGAUGCGUAGAUAUCAAGAGGAACACCUGAGGUGAAGACGGGUUGCUGGGCUGACACUGACGCUGAGGCGCGAAAGCCAGGGGAGCAAACGGGGAUUAGAUACCCUGGUAGUCCCUGAGCGGGCUGGCAAGGCGCAU
RNAcentral lists this ribosomal RNA (448 nucleotides) under uncultured bacterium. Its description in RNAcentral is "bacterial SSU rRNA". It matches the Rfam family "Bacterial small subunit ribosomal RNA", at positions 355 to 825 of the family's 1533-position model. The record is from RNAcentral.